This 1498-nucleotide ribosomal RNA is filed under the name uncultured bacterium. RNAcentral's name for it is "16S ribosomal RNA". It matches the Rfam family "Bacterial small subunit ribosomal RNA". The record is from RNAcentral.
AGAGUUUGAUUCUGGCUCAGGAUGAACGCUAGCGACAGGCCUAACACAUGCAAGUCGAGGGGCAUCGGGGCGAGGAGCAAUCCUUGCCGCCGGCGACCGGCGCACGGGUGAGUAACGCGUAUGCGACCUGCCCGUUGCAGGGGGAUAAUCGGGAGAAAUCCCGUCUAAUACCGCGUAACGCCGCGGGGCUGCAUGGCCCUGCGGCCAAAGGGAGCGAUUCCGGCAACGGAUGGGCAUGCGUGACAUUAGCUAGUUGGCGGGGCAACGGCCCACCAAGGCGACGAUGUCUAGGGGUUCUGAGAGGAAGGUCCCCCACACUGGUACUGAGACACGGACCAGACUCCUACGGGAGGCAGCAGUGAGGAAUAUUGGUCAAUGGGCGCGAGCCUGAACCAGCCAAGUCGCGUGAGGGAUGACGGCCCUACGGGUUGUAAACCUCUUUUGUCGGGGAGCAAAUUCCGCCACGUGUGGCGGAGUCGAGAGUACCCGAAGAAAAAGCAUCGGCUAACUCCGUGCCAGCAGCCGCGGUAAUACGGAGGAUGCGAGCGUUAUCCGGAUUUAUUGGGUUUAAAGGGUGCGUAGGCGGACUGUCAAGUCAGCGGUAAAAUACGGGGGCUCAACCUCCGCCCGCCGUUGAAACUGACGGUCUUGAGUGGGCGAGAAGUAUGCGGAAUGCGUGGUGUAGCGGUGAAAUGCAUAGAUAUCACGCAGAACUCCGAUUGCGAAGGCAGCAUACCGGCGCCCAACUGACGCUGAAGCACGAAAGCGUGGGUAUCGAACAGGAUUAGAUACCCUGGUAGUCCACGCAGUAAACGAUGAAUACUAGCUGUCCGGGGCGAAUGAGCCCUGGGUGGCACAGCGAAAGCGUUAAGUAUUCCACCUGGGGAGUACGCCGGCAACGGUGAAACUCAAAGGAAUUGACGGGGGCCCGCACAAGCGGAGGAACAUGUGGUUUAAUUCGAUGAUACGCGAGGAACCUUACCCGGGCUCAAACGACACAGGAACGUACCUGAAAGGGUUCGGCUCUACGGAGCCUGUGUCGAGGUGCUGCAUGGUUGUCGUCAGCUCGUGCCGUGAGGUGUCGGCUUAAGUGCCAUAACGAGCGCAACCCCCAUCGACAGUUGCUAACAGGUUAGGCUGAGGACUCUGUCGAGACUGCCGGCGCAAGCUGCGAGGAAGGCGGGGAUGACGUCAAAUCAGCACGGCCCUUACGUCCGGGGCGACACACGUGUUACAAUGGCAGGUACAGCGGGAAGCCACCUGGCGACAGGGAGCGGAACCCGAAAGCCUGUCUCAGUUCGGAUUGGAGUCUGCAACCCGACUCCAUGAAGCUGGAUUCGCUAGUAAUCGCGCAUCAGCCACGGCGCGGUGAAUACGUUCCCGGGCCUUGUACACACCGCCCGUCAAGCCGUGGAAGCCGGGGGUGCCUGAAGUGCGCUGCCGCGAGGAGCGCCCUAGGGUAAAACCGGUGACUGGGGCUAAGUCGUAACAAGGUAGC